GGGGAUAUAGCUCAAGAGGUAGAGCACGUGCUUAGCAUACACAAGGUUCUGGGUUUAAUCCCCAGUACCUCCU
Molecule: transfer RNA, 73 nt
Filed under: Camelus bactrianus (Bactrian camel)
Lineage: Eukaryota; Metazoa; Chordata; Mammalia; Artiodactyla; Camelidae
Also listed under: 1 other name
Rfam family: tRNA
About the family: Transfer RNA (tRNA) molecules are approximately 80 nucleotides in length. Their secondary structure includes four short double-helical elements and three loops (D, anti-codon, and T loops).
Source: Rfam by way of RNAcentral